This 673-nucleotide unclassified non-coding RNA is filed under the name Hevea brasiliensis (rubber tree). The record is from RNAcentral. Lineage: Eukaryota; Viridiplantae; Streptophyta; Magnoliopsida; Malpighiales; Euphorbiaceae.
GAUCAUUGACAAUAUCCAGUCCCUCAAUACUAUCUGAUUGAGACUGGUAAUUGCAAAUAAAUUCUAUAAUACUUCCACUUGCAUGAAAGAUGAUAUUAAUAGUAAGUUGUACAGCAAAAUAAGAGACUAAUAGUGAGUUUUAGAGUUCUAAUAGCAGGUAACUUUAUAAUGCUUCAGCACAUGCUUACAAUGAUCACUUUCAAUCUCAUCAAAUCACUAGACCAAUAAAUAUAAUCACUGGAAAUUACACUAUUUUAUAGCAGAGAGUUCAACUAGUUGCUCUCUAUUUCCUUUAAACCUUUCUUCAAACUUCAACCUUGAUCUAUAGCCCACAAAAACUUCUCCCAUGAUUAAAUUGUUCCUGUCACAAGGUCAUAUUCAAUCCUUGUGAUACUUCUUAAGUAAAACAUAUUCGUUUAUUAUCAAAUUUCCAUGAAUUUUGCUGCAAAAUAAUUAGAUCUAGCAAUUCACAUAAGUUGGAUCCAGCUAAAUGCCUAGUGCCUUGGUAACAAACAACAUGCUAGAGUCAAGUUCAAAAGAUAUACCUACAGAGGAAAAAAAUGUUCCCUCAAUAAUUUCACCCACACAUGCAAUCAAACAAGACAGAGGAAAGCUUCAACAGAAUCUUGAUUAUAAUAGUGCAAUAUCUUACCAUUUUAGGGUUCUGGUAGGC